AGAUUGAACGCUGGCGGCAGGCCUAACACAUGCAAGUCGAGCGGAUGAAGAGAGCUUGCUCUCUGAUUCAGCGGCGGACGGGUGAGUAAUGCCUAGGAAUCUGCCUGGUAGUGGGGGACAACGUUUCGAAAGGAACGCUAAUACCGCAUACGUCCUACGGGAGAAAGCGAGGGUACCUUCGGGCCUUGCGCUAUCAGAUGAGCCUAGGUCGAUUAGCUAGUUGGUGAGGUAAUGGCUCACCAAGGCGACGAUCCGUAACUGGUCUGAGA
This 269-nucleotide ribosomal RNA is filed under the name uncultured soil bacterium. RNAcentral describes it as "partial 16S ribosomal RNA". It matches the Rfam family "Bacterial small subunit ribosomal RNA", at positions 26 to 297 of the family's 1533-position model. The record is from RNAcentral.